UACGGGGGGAGCAAGCGUUGUUCGGAUUUACUGGGCGUAAAGGGCGGGUAGGCGGCCACUGCAAGUCGGUUGUGAAAUCUCCGGGCUUAACCCGGAAAGGUCAACCGAUACUGCAGGGCUAGAGUGCAGAAGGGGCAACUGGAAUUCUCGGUGUAGCGGUGAAAUGCGUAGAUAUCGAGAGGAACACCUGCGGCGAAGGCGGGUUGCUGGGCUGACACUGACGCUGAACUGCGAAAGCUAGGGGAGCGAACGGG
Molecule: ribosomal RNA, 254 nt
Filed under: uncultured bacterium
Lineage: Bacteria
Also listed under: 1 other name
Description: partial 16S ribosomal RNA
Rfam family: Bacterial small subunit ribosomal RNA
Source: RNAcentral